GAUGAACGCUGGCGGCGUGCCUAAUACAUGCAAGUCGAACGCGCAGCGAAAGGUGCUUGCACCUUUCAAGCGAGUGGCGAACGGGUGAGUAACACGUGGAUAACCUGCCUCAAGGCUGGGGAUAACAUUUGGAAACAGAUGCUAAUACCGAAUAAAACUUAGUAUCGCAUGAUAUAAAGUUAAAAGGCGCUACGGCGUCACCUAGAGAUGGAUCCGCGGUGCAUUAGUUAGUUGGUGGGGUAAAGGCUUACCAAGAAAAUGAUGCAUAGCCGAGUUGAGGGACUGAUCGGCCACAUUGGGACUGAGACACGGCCCAAACUCCUACGGGAGGCUGCAGUAGGGAAUCUUCCACAAUGGGCGCAAGCCUGAUGGAGCAACGCCGCGUGUGUGAUGAAGGCUUUCGGGUCGUAAAGCACUGUUGUAUGGGAAGAAAUGCUAAAAUAGGGAAUGAUUUUAGUUUGACGGUACCAUACCAGAAAGGGACGGCUAAAUACGUGCCAGCCGCCGCCGUAA
Molecule: ribosomal RNA, 513 nt
Filed under: uncultured bacterium
Lineage: Bacteria
Description: partial 16S ribosomal RNA
Rfam family: Bacterial small subunit ribosomal RNA
Source: RNAcentral